This is a non-coding RNA of Lindgomyces ingoldianus, 92 nucleotides long. The record is from the annotation of a RefSeq genome assembly. Lineage: Eukaryota; Fungi; Ascomycota; Dothideomycetes; Pleosporales; Lindgomycetaceae.
GGCUCGAUGGUGUAGUUGGUUAUCACGUCAGUCUAACAUUCGCAACGAGUGUUGUUCACUGAAGGUCUCCAGUUCAAGUCUGGGUCGAGUCA